Molecule: ribosomal RNA, 433 nt
Filed under: uncultured bacterium
Lineage: Bacteria
Description: partial 16S ribosomal RNA
Rfam family: Bacterial small subunit ribosomal RNA
Source: RNAcentral
AGCGAACGCUGGCGGCAGGCUUAACACAUGCAAGUCGAGCGGGCACUUCGGUGUCAGCGGCAGACGGGUGAGUAACACGUGGGAACGUACCCUUUGGUUCGGAAUAACGCUGGGAAACUAGCGCUAAUACCGGAUACGCCCUUUUGGGGAAAGGCUUGCUGCCGAAGGAUCGGCCCGCGUCUGAUUAGCUAGUUGGUGGGGUAAUGGCCUACCAAGGCGACGAUCAGUAGCUGGUCUGAGAGGAUGAUCAGCCACACUGGGACUGAGACACGGCCCAGACUCCUACGGGAGGCAGCAGUGGGGAAUAUUGGACAAUGGGCGCAAGCCUGAUCCAGCCAUGCCGCGUGAGUUAUGAAGGCCUUAGGGUUGUAAAGCUCUUUUGUCCGGGACGAUAAUGACGGUACCGGAAGAAUAAGCCCCGGCUAACUUCGUG